RNAcentral lists this ribosomal RNA (386 nucleotides) under uncultured prokaryote. RNAcentral describes it as "bacterial SSU rRNA". It matches the Rfam family "Archaeal small subunit ribosomal RNA", at positions 339 to 725 of the family's 1478-position model. The record is from RNAcentral.
GCGCGAAAACUUUACAAUGCUGGCAACAGCGAUAAGGGAACCUCGAGUGCCAGGUUACAAAUCUGGCUGUCGAGAUGCCUAAAAAGCAUUUCAUAGUAAGGGCCGGGCAAGACCGGUGCCAGCCGCCGCGGUAACACCGGCGGCUCGAGUGGUAACCGUUAUUAUUGGGUCUAAAGGGUCUGUAGCCGGCCGGAUAAGUCUCUUGAGAAAUCGGGCAGCUUAACUGUCAGGGUUUCAGGAGAUACUGUCUGGCUCGAGGCCGGGAGAGGUGAGAGGUACUUCAGGGGUAGGGGUGAAAUCUUGUAAUCCUUGAAGGACCACCAGUGGCGAAGGCGUCUCACCAGAACGGACCUGACGGCAAGGGACGAAAGCUAGGGGCACGAACC